AGGUAGUACUUAAUAAAGAAAACCUAUAUAGUUUGGCGGCACUUCAUCUUAUUAGAGGAAUUUGUCUUUUAAUCGAUAAUCCCCGUUAACUUUCACUUUAAAUAAAAGCUGAUAUACCGCCAUUACAAGAAUAUAUUUAAAAAUAUUAUUCAAAAUAAUAUUCUAAAAAAUUAGGUCAAGGUGUGGCUUAUAUUAAAGUUAAGAUGAAUUAUAUUAAAUAUAAUUUAAGGAUUAAUAAUACAAAAACAUUUUAUAAAAAGAGAUUUAAAAGUAAUUUUUAAAUAAUAUUUACAAUUGAAUAAAGAAAUAUGUGUGC
This 316-nucleotide ribosomal RNA is filed under the name Deinopis sp. GH4. RNAcentral's name for it is "partial 12S ribosomal RNA". The record is from RNAcentral. Lineage: Eukaryota; Metazoa; Arthropoda; Arachnida; Araneae; Deinopidae.